UGGGGAAUUUUCCGCAAUGGGCGCAAGCCUGACGGAGCAAUACCGCGUGAGGGAGGAAGGCUUUUGGGUUGUAAACCUCUUUUCUCAAGGAAGAAGCACUGACGGUACUUGAGGAAUCAGCAUCGGCUAACUCCGUGCCAGCAGCCGCGGUAAUACGGAGGAUGCAAGCGUUAUUCGGAAUUAUUGGGCGUAAAGCGUCCGCAGGUGGUGCCUCAAGUCUGCUGUCAAAGACGGAAGCUCAACUUCGGGCAGGCAGUGGAAACUGAAGCACUAGAGUACGGUAGGGGUAGAGGGAAUUUCCAGUGUAGCGGUGAAAUGCGUAGAGAUUGGAAAGAACAACAGUAGCGAAAGCGCUCUACUGGACCAUUAUUGACACUCAGAGACGAAAGCGAAGGUAGCGAAUGGGAUUAGAUACCCCCGUAGUCC
This 426-nucleotide ribosomal RNA is filed under the name uncultured prokaryote. RNAcentral's name for it is "bacterial SSU rRNA". It matches the Rfam family "Bacterial small subunit ribosomal RNA", at positions 355 to 796 of the family's 1533-position model. The record is from RNAcentral.